This 215-nucleotide ribosomal RNA is filed under the name uncultured fungus. Its description in RNAcentral is "partial small subunit ribosomal RNA". The stretch from base 92 to 215 matches the Rfam family "Eukaryotic small subunit ribosomal RNA", at positions 738 to 864 of the family's 1831-position model. The record is from RNAcentral. Lineage: Eukaryota; Fungi.
GCUCUGGCUGAGCGGUCCGCCAAUUGGUUGGUACUGCUUCGGCUGGGGUUCACCUUCUGGCGAGCCGUCAUGCACUUUAUUGUGUGUGGCGAGGAACCAGGACUUUUACCUUGAAAAAAUUAGAGUGUUCAAAGCAGGCAUUUGCUCGGAUACAUUAGCAUGGAAUAAUAGAAUAGGACGUCGAUCCUAUUUUGUUGGUUUCUAGGACCGCCGUA